Apis dorsata (giant honeybee) is the source of this 1284-nucleotide long non-coding RNA. RefSeq lists it as uncharacterized. The record is from RefSeq and is a predicted model, not a curated record. NCBI's taxonomy places the organism in Eukaryota, Metazoa, Arthropoda, Insecta, Hymenoptera, Apidae. The transcript is spliced from 4 exons.
UGUUAAGAUUAAUGAAUGUUUCUUGUACGUUCUUAUAUUUUACAAUUAUUACCAUAAAAGCAAGCAUAUCUACAAAUCUCUACACUUCCAUAUGUAAGUACUAACCUGUAACGCUGUGUUACAGGUUGAAUAAUCCUCUAUAUAUCGUAACAUUACGAUACGAUUACAUUUACACUUAUUUAGUAUUUCUUUCUUAGAAUUCAUUUUAUAUAUAUAUAUAUAUUUCGAAAAUAAUUCCAAGCAUGCAAUAAGAAAUAAGAAAUGACAGGAAGAAGAAGAGGGAAGAAGAAAAAAGAAAAUAAAGAAGAAGAUAGAAGGAAAAAUGGAGGACAAUGAUCCUCAGAAACGGAGAGAACAUCUGCUCUGUGGGCCCAGAUCGUAGCAUGUCCUCCUUCAAUAAGAGGCGAUCGCGUCGUGAAACUUGUCCCACCUCACCACGCAUAGCCAGAUUCUUUAACGACGGACAAAAUUGAGGCACGUGCACCGAGUUGCACGCGGGCGAUCUCUCUUUUCGACCGAAGAGAAAAAAAACAGCAUGCUCACGCGCUCCUGAUCACCGUCUGCCUACAGAAAUUCGCUGCCCCAACAAAUUAUUAUAGAUUAUCUAUAGAAUUAAUAAUAAAGAUCUUUUAAUAAUAAUAAUAAUAAUAAAUAUCGAUAAAUAUAUAAUAUCGAUCUAUAAGUAUAUGUACUUUAAAAUAUCGAACAAUAGUUCUUACAAUCGUAGCUAGAGGGUAUGUAAGAUAACUUGAAACACUUUAUAACGUGACACGAAAGUAACAUAACCAAAUUUAAUUCUUAAAAGAAAAAAAUUGCCUUAUAAAUAAUGCAUUCUUAAAAAAUUAUUUUUUUUAUUGUCAUUUAUUUUUUUUAUUUUUAUUAUGUUUUUUAUUACAAAUUUUCAUUAUUUUAAAUUCAUCUUUACAAAAAUCUGCAUUAUUUAAAAUGGAUUUUCGAAAACACUUUAUAAUACGUCCUUUGUAUUUCAAACUUUUUAAAAACUUCAAAGGAACAGAAAAACUUUAGGGAUUUGAUCGUGCAGCCUUCUCGGAUUCCAGCUAUCUAACAGCUGCUCUUCGUAUCUCGUCUUUUUUCUAUAUCGUGUUUUUCCAUGUCACCGGCUAUACCACCUCCACACUGUGCAGCAAUGUAGAGAGCAGCUCGUAGGAGAGAGAUUCGUCGACACAAAGCGAAAGAUACUGAGACAGCUGGAUUCACAUGACUACCUGUACCAUUUUAUUACAAGUUUUAUAACAAUCUUAUAAUAUACAAAACAAAAUUGAA